UACGUAGGUGGCAAGCGUUGUCCGGAUUUAUUGGGUUUAAAGGGUGCGUAGGCGGUCCUGUAAGUCAGUUGUGAAAUACGGCAGCUUAACUGUCGAGGUGCAAUUGAUACUGCGGGACUAGAGUACUGAUGAGGUAAGCGGAAUGGACGGUGUAGCGGUGAAAUGCUUAGAUAUCGUCCAGAACACCGAUAGCGAAGGCAGCUUACUAAGGAGUAACUGACGCUGAGGCACGAAAGUGUGGGGAUCAAACAGG
This 253-nucleotide ribosomal RNA is filed under the name uncultured bacterium. RNAcentral's name for it is "partial 16S ribosomal RNA". It matches the Rfam family "Bacterial small subunit ribosomal RNA", at positions 524 to 776 of the family's 1533-position model. The record is from RNAcentral.